RNAcentral lists this ribosomal RNA (492 nucleotides) under uncultured bacterium. RNAcentral's name for it is "partial 16S ribosomal RNA". It matches the Rfam family "Bacterial small subunit ribosomal RNA", at positions 29 to 507 of the family's 1533-position model. The record is from RNAcentral.
AGUGAACGCUGGCGGUAGGCCUAACACAUGCAAGUCGAACGGCAGCACAGUAAGAGCUUGCUCUUACGGGUGGCGAGUGGCGGGCGGGUGAGGAAUACAUCGGAAUCUACUUUUUCGUGGGGGAUAACGUAGGGAAACUUACGCUAAUACCGCAUACGACCUACGGGUGAAAGCAGGGGAUCUUCGGACCUUGCGCGAUUGAAUGAGCCGAUGUCGGAUUAGCUAGUUGGCGGGGUAAAGGCCCACCAAGGCGACGAUCCGUGGCUGGUCUGAGAGAGUGAUCAGCCACACUGGAACGGGGACACGGUCCAGACUCCUACGGGAGGCAGCAGUGGGGAAUAUUGGACAAUGGGCGCAAGCCUGAUCCAGCCAUACCGCGUGGGUGAAGAAGGCCUUCGGGUUGUAAAGCCCUUUUGUUGGGAAAGAAAAGCAGCAGGUUAAUACCCCGCUGUUCUGACGGUACCCAAAGAAUAAGCACCGGCUAACUUCGUG